Molecule: ribosomal RNA, 447 nt
Filed under: Triticum aestivum (bread wheat)
Lineage: Eukaryota; Viridiplantae; Streptophyta; Magnoliopsida; Poales; Poaceae
Description: partial small subunit ribosomal RNA
Source: RNAcentral
AUGCCUCUCUCUUUAUAUCAUAGACUUGAAUUGAAUAAGUUGACACCUACUGAAAUAUCUUUGCAAAUGGCUGAUAAAUCAACUGCUAUACCUGUCGGUAUUUGUGAGGAUGUGCCUGUUGUGGUUGCAAAUGUCACUAUCUUAACGGACUUUGUUUUUGUUGAUAUUCCCGAGGACGAUAGUAUGUCAAUUAUCCUUGGUAGACCCUUUUUGAAUACUGCAGGUUCUAUUAUUGAUUGCAACAAAGGCAAUGUCACUUUUCAUGUUAACGGUAAUGAGCAUGCGGUACACUUUCCGAGGAAACAAUCUCAAGUUCAUAGCAUCAAUUCUAUUGGAAAAGUUCCAACUAUCAUUAUUGGAGGUUUUGAAUUUCCUCUCCCUACUGUCAAGAAAAAGUAUGAUAUUCUUAUUAUUGGGGAUGUUCAUAUCCCCGUUGAGGUAACCUAG